Molecule: non-coding RNA, 86 nt
Organism: Zopfia rhizophila CBS 207.26
Lineage: Eukaryota; Fungi; Ascomycota; Dothideomycetes; Zopfiaceae
Source: the annotation of a GenBank genome assembly
GGCUCGAUGGUGUAGUUGGUUAUCACGUUUGCCUAACAGUAUCUCCUGCUCGCAAAAGGUCUCCAGUUCGAACCUGGAUCGAGUCA